This 253-nucleotide ribosomal RNA is filed under the name uncultured bacterium. RNAcentral's name for it is "partial 16S ribosomal RNA". It matches the Rfam family "Bacterial small subunit ribosomal RNA", at positions 524 to 776 of the family's 1533-position model. The record is from RNAcentral.
UACAGAGGUCUCAAGCGUUGUUCGGAUUCAUUAGGCGUAAAGGGUGCGUAGGCGGCGCGGUAAGUCGGGUGUGAAAUCUCGGAGCUUAACUCCGAAACUGCAUUCGAUACUGCCGUGCUUGAGGACUGGAGAGGAGACUGGAAUUUACGGUGUAGCGGUGAAAUGCGUAGAUAUCGUAAGGAAGACCAGUGGCGAAGGCGGGUCUCUGGACAGUUCCUGACGCUGAGGCACGAAGGCCAGGGGAGCAAACGGG